RNAcentral lists this transfer RNA (91 nucleotides) under Roseateles sp. Its description in RNAcentral is "tRNA-Ser". It matches the Rfam family "tRNA". From Rfam's summary of the family: Transfer RNA (tRNA) molecules are approximately 80 nucleotides in length. Their secondary structure includes four short double-helical elements and three loops (D, anti-codon, and T loops). The record is from RNAcentral. Lineage: Bacteria; Pseudomonadati; Pseudomonadota; Betaproteobacteria; Burkholderiales; Sphaerotilaceae.
GGGAAGGUGGCAGAGUGGUUUAAUGUACCUGACUCGAAAUCAGGCGUGCGGUAACACCGCACCGGGGGUUCGAAUCCCCCCCUUCCCUCCA